Molecule: transfer RNA, 73 nt
Filed under: Bos taurus (domestic cattle)
Lineage: Eukaryota; Metazoa; Chordata; Mammalia; Artiodactyla; Bovidae
Also listed under: 4 other names
Rfam family: tRNA
About the family: Transfer RNA (tRNA) molecules are approximately 80 nucleotides in length.
Source: Rfam by way of RNAcentral
UCCCUGGCAGUCCAGUGGUUAAGACUCCACACUUUCAAUGCAGGGGGUCCAGUUUCAAUCCCUGGUCAGGGAA